Molecule: unclassified non-coding RNA, 379 nt
Filed under: soil metagenome
Description: partial contains 5.8S ribosomal RNA, internal transcribed spacer 2, and large subunit ribosomal RNA
Rfam family: 5.8S ribosomal RNA (bases 1-120)
Source: RNAcentral
GAUGAAGAACGUAGCGAAAUGCGAUAAGUAAUGUGAAUUGCAGAAUUCAGUGAAUCAUCGAAUCUUUGAACGCACAUUGCGCCCGCCAGUAUUCUGGCGGGCAUGCCUGUUCGAGCGUCAUUUCAACCCUCAAGCCCCAGCGGCCUGGUGUUGGGGACCGGCGACCUCGCCCGAGCCCGCCCUCCGGGGCGCGUGCCCGGUGCGUCCGCCGCCCCCGAAAUGAAUUGGCGGCCUCGUCGCGGCCUCCUCUGCGUAGUAGCACAACCUCGCAAGCGGGAGCGCGACGCGGCCACUGCCGUAAAACGCCCAACUUUUUUAGAGUUGACCUCGGAUCAGGUAGGAAUACGCGCUGAACUUAAGCAUAUCAAUAAGCGGAGGA